GUGGUGGCUCAGUGGUAGAGUGCUUGCCUAGCAUGCAUGAGGCACUGGGUUCAAUCCCCAGCACCACG
Molecule: transfer RNA, 68 nt
Filed under: Marmota marmota marmota (Alpine marmot)
Lineage: Eukaryota; Metazoa; Chordata; Mammalia; Rodentia; Sciuridae
Also listed under: 1 other name
Rfam family: tRNA
About the family: Transfer RNA (tRNA) molecules are approximately 80 nucleotides in length. Their secondary structure includes four short double-helical elements and three loops (D, anti-codon, and T loops).
Source: Rfam by way of RNAcentral